Molecule: small nuclear RNA, 99 nt
Filed under: Prolemur simus (greater bamboo lemur)
Lineage: Eukaryota; Metazoa; Chordata; Mammalia; Primates; Lemuridae
Source: RNAcentral
UUGCUUUGGCAGCACAUACACUAAAAUUGGAAUGAUACAGAGAAGAUAAGCCUGGCCCCUGCGCAAGGAUGACAUGCACAUGAAGUAUUUCAUAUUAAA